Molecule: ribosomal RNA, 366 nt
Filed under: uncultured bacterium
Lineage: Bacteria
Description: bacterial SSU rRNA
Rfam family: Bacterial small subunit ribosomal RNA
Source: RNAcentral
AACGAACGCUGGCGGCAUGCCUAACACAUGCAAGUCGAACGAGACCUUCGGGUCUAGUGGCGCACGGGUGCGUAACGCGUGGGAAUCUGCCCUUGGGUUCGGAAUAACAGUUGGAAACGACUGCUAAUACCGGAUGAUGACGUAAGUCCAAAGAUUUAUCGCCCAAGGAUGAGCCCGCGUAGGAUUAGCUAGUUGGUGAGGUAAAGGCUCACCAAGGCGACGAUCCUUAGCUGGUCUGAGAGGAUGAUCAGCCACACUGGGACUGAGACACGGCCCAGACUCCUACGGGAGGCAGCAGUGGGGAAUAUUGGACAAUGGCGAAAGACCUGAUCCAGCAAUGCCGCGUGAGUGAUGAAGGCCUCGGUU